Molecule: ribosomal RNA, 1066 nt
Filed under: Popondichthys furcatus (forktail rainbowfish)
Lineage: Eukaryota; Metazoa; Chordata; Actinopteri; Atheriniformes; Pseudomugilidae
Description: partial 16S ribosomal RNA
Rfam family: Bacterial large subunit ribosomal RNA (bases 224-1066)
Source: RNAcentral
CACUGAGAAGUUCCCCGUGCGAAUCGGGUCGUCCUGAUGCCUAAAAGCUAGCUCAAACCCCCAAAUUAACUAGUAAAUAUUUAUAUCCCCUUAUACCUUUAAAGCUUUAAAUAAACCAUUUUUCCCCUCUAGUAUGGGAGACAGAAAAAGAAAUUGACGCAACAGAUAAAGUACCGCAAGGGAACGUUGAAAGAGAAAUGAAAUAAAUCAGUAAAGCACAAUAAAGCAGAGCUAACCCCUCGUACCUUUUGCAUCAUGCACUAGCAAGAGCCCUUCGAGCAAAAAGCAUUUUAGUUCGAAAACCCGAAACCAGGUGAGCUACCCCAAGACAGUCUUUAAUGAGGACCUACCCGUCUCUGUGGCAAAAGAGUGGGGCGAUCUUUGGGUAGAGGUGAUAAACCUACCGAACCUUGUUAUAGCUGGUUGCCUAAGAAUUGAAUAGAAGUUCAGCCCCUAACCCUUUCUUUUUUCCCCUUAGGCGUAAGCCAAAAAUAGACAACAAGAAGGUUAUGGAGUUAGUCAGAGGGGGUACAGCCCCUCUGAAUAAGAUACAACUUUUUAAGGUGGUCUAGGAUCACACACUUCAUAAAGACCUUUGUACUUUUGUGGGCCUAAAAGCAGCCAUCCAUAUAGAAAGCGUUAAAGCUCCAGUACAACUACAAGCCUAUAAUCUCGAAAAUUUCCUCCCUUUCCCCUUAUCAAUAUUAAGCCUCCCCAUCCAACAUAUGGGGGUGAUAAUGCUAAUAUGAGUAACUAGAGGGCCACUUCCCUCUCCAAGCACAAGUGUAUCCCGGAACGGAUCUUCCGCCGGACCUUAAUCGGAUCCCUUACAAGAGGUCCCUGGGCUAAAAAAAGAAAACUAGAAAAAUACCCAAAUAUUAACCGUUAACCCCACACUGGCGUGCCCUCACGGAAAGACUAAAAGAAAAAGAAGGAACUCGGCAAAUAUACUUUAAGCCUCGCCUGUUUACCAAAAACAUCGCCUCUUGCUUAAUAAAAUAUAAGAGGUCCCGCCUGCCCUGUGACGUAAGUUUAACGGCCGCGGUAAUUUGACCGUGCGAAGGUA